CACAAGCGGUGAGCAUGUGGUUUAAUUCGAAGCAACGCGAAGAACUUACCAGGUCUUGACAUCCCGAUGCUAUUUCUAGAGAUAGAAAGUUACUUCGGUACAUCGGUGACAGGUGGUGCAUGGUUGUCGUCAGCUCGUGUCGUGAGAUGUUGGGUUAAGUCCCGCAACGAGCGCAACCCCUAUUGUUAGUUGCCAUCAUUCAGUUGGGCACUCUAGCGAGACUGCCGGUAAUAAACCGGAGGAAGGUGGGGAUGACGUCAAAUCAGCACGGCCCUUACGUCCAGGGCUACACACGUGUUACAAUGGCCGGUACAGAGGGCAGCUACCUGGUGACAGGAUGCUAAUCCCGAAAGCCGGUCCCAGUUCGGAUUGGAGUCUGCAACCCGACUCCAUGAAGUUGGAUUCGCUAGUAAUCGCGCAUCAGCCAUGGCGCGGUGAAUACGUUCCCGGGCCUU
This 455-nucleotide ribosomal RNA is filed under the name uncultured Streptococcus sp. RNAcentral describes it as "bacterial SSU rRNA". It matches the Rfam family "Bacterial small subunit ribosomal RNA", at positions 924 to 1382 of the family's 1533-position model. Lineage: Bacteria; Bacillati; Bacillota; Bacilli; Lactobacillales; Streptococcaceae. The record is from RNAcentral.